This 49-nucleotide transfer RNA is filed under the name Lentisphaeria bacterium. RNAcentral describes it as "tRNA-Ser". It matches the Rfam family "tRNA", at positions 26 to 71 of the family's 71-position model. From Rfam's summary of the family: Transfer RNA (tRNA) molecules are approximately 80 nucleotides in length. Their secondary structure includes four short double-helical elements and three loops (D, anti-codon, and T loops). Further hydrogen bonds mediate the characteristic L-shaped molecular structure. tRNAs have two regions of fundamental functional importance: the anti-codon, which is responsible for specific mRNA codon recognition, and the 3' end, to which the tRNAs corresponding amino acid is attached (by aminoacyl-tRNA synthetases). tRNAs cope with the degeneracy of the genetic code in two manners: having more than one tRNA (with a specific anti-codon) for a particular amino acid; and 'wobble' base-pairing, i.e. permitting non-standard base-pairing at the 3rd anti-codon position. Lineage: Bacteria; Pseudomonadati; Lentisphaerota; Lentisphaeria. The record is from RNAcentral.
CCAGCUUCCCAAGCUGGCGACGCCGGUUCGACUCCGGUCACCCGCUCCA